UUAAAUCCUGUCUCCGCAA
This 19-nucleotide transfer RNA is filed under the name Wolffia neglecta. RNAcentral's name for it is "partial tRNA-Met". The record is from RNAcentral. Lineage: Eukaryota; Viridiplantae; Streptophyta; Magnoliopsida; Alismatales; Araceae.